Molecule: ribosomal RNA, 657 nt
Filed under: uncultured bacterium
Lineage: Bacteria
Description: bacterial SSU rRNA
Rfam family: Bacterial small subunit ribosomal RNA
Source: RNAcentral
GGGAAGCGGCGAACGGGUGAGUAACACGUAGGUGAUCUGCCCAUCAGACGGGGACAACGAUUGGAAACGAUCGCUAAUACCGGAUAGGACGAAAGUUUAAAGAUGCUCCUGGCAUCACUGAUGGAUGAGCCUGCGGCGCAUUAGCUAGUUGGUGGGGUAAAGGCCUACCAAGGCGACGAUGCGUAGCCGACCUGAGAGGGUGAACGGCCACACUGGGACUGAGACACGGCCCAGACUCCUACGGGAGGCAGCAGUAGGGAAUCUUCGGCAAUGGGCGAAAGCCUGACCGAGCAACGCCGCGUGAAUGAAGAAGGUCUUCGGGUUGUAAAAUUCUGUUAUAAGGGAAGAAAGGUGAUAGGAGGAAAUGACUAUCAAUUGACGGUACCUUAUGAGAAAGCCACGGCUAACUACGUGCCAGCAGCCGCGGUAAUACGUAGGUGGCAAGCGUUAUCCGGAAUUAUUGGGCGUAAAGAGCGCGCAGGUGGUUAAUUAAGUCUGAUGUGAAAGCCCACGGCUUAACCGUGGAGGGUCAUUGGAAACUGGUUGACUUGAGUGCAGAAGAGGGAAGUGGAAUUCCAUGUGUAGCGGUGAAAUGCGUAGAGAUAUGGAGGAACACCAGUGGCGAAGGCGGCUUCCUGGUCUGCAACUGACACUGAG